GUUUUUUAUCUAAUUGCGUCAUAAUAAUUAUAAUAAUUAAGUUCUUUGUACAUGACAUUGUGCAUACCAUGUGUGGGCGAGAGAUUCUCACUUGGACAAGGAGGAGGUCUCUCUGGAGCUACAAAAGAAAAUUGCAACAUAUGAAUUGCUGCUCAAUGCCGAACAAGGAGCAGGUGGAAUUGGUCUCUCUGGAGCUAAAGAAAAGAAAAUUACAGCAAGAACACAUUAAAUUUGCAUGGUUGUCAUAAAUUAAUGUGUGUGUGUGUGUACAGACUUGUAAUGCUACUUACAAAGCUGGUUUCCUUCAAACAA
Molecule: long non-coding RNA, 312 nt
Organism: Halichondria panicea
Lineage: Eukaryota; Metazoa; Porifera; Demospongiae; Suberitida; Halichondriidae
Exons: 2
Source: RefSeq, a predicted model, not a curated record